UCAAACUGGGAUUAGAUACCCCACUAUUUUUAGUUGUAAAUUUAGUUUAGCUUACCAGAGCACUACGAAUAAAAAGUUUAAAACUCAAAGGGCUUGGCGGUGCUUUAGACCUCUCAGGGGAACCUGUCUCAUAAUCGACAAUCCACGUUAGAUCUGACCUUUUAUGGCAAUUCAGCUUGUAUACCGUCGUCGUCAGGUAACUUUUAAAAAUGAAAUAGUUAGCUAGAAAAUUAUAUUAACUAAAACGUCAGAUCAAGGUGCAGCUAAUGAAAGGGGGAGGAUGGGUUACAAUUACAAAUUUGUAAUUACGGAUUAAUGUUUUAAAAGUAUUUUUAAGGAGGACUUGAAAGUA
Molecule: ribosomal RNA, 352 nt
Filed under: Conus sp. n. CMFRI MBD C2.4
Lineage: Eukaryota; Metazoa; Mollusca; Gastropoda; Neogastropoda; Conidae
Description: partial 12S ribosomal RNA
Source: RNAcentral